CAGGUGGACACCAUAAUGACUUGAUAUAUGUUUAUAUUGCAAAGCUAUCACCACAAUUAGCCCCCGAGCAUGAUGUUUUAAAAGACACUACCCAUCGAACAAAUGGCAUUUUAAGUAACUACUUUCCCGUGGUGAUUAGACACAGAACUACCCAUCAAGCUUCUCACCGCCAAGAAAUACCACGUGGAGUUGCUAUAUUUGAGCCAAAGGUAAAGACACUUGAAACUUACUCUGCAUAUGGUGGUUAAAUAUAUGAUUUCAACUUUUAAAAUAUUGAAAUACUUCAGCAUGCCCUUUGCUAAGAGUUUCACUGGCCUCUUUGGAGACCUCAGAUGGAGAGUAACUAAAAUCCAUGUCUGAACUCACCGGUGCUCAUGGCAGCAAUAGACGCACAGGUGAACAUAGGGAGCCGCUGCUCCGGUUUUUGACCACGACUCAGCCAGCCCAUGUGAAGUGGCUUCUAGCCUCUCUCUUCUCAACAGACCCGGACAAUCCUCCUCAGCCCUCCCAGCCCCUGGUAUGGUGGGCUGUGAACUUCUGCUCCUCUUUGUGUGCUCACAGAGGCACGUACCCAAUACCGGUAGGCUCGUUACAUGUGUUCUAUUCAACUACCAUGGCUCCCCUGAGGUAAAGCAUAAAAUUCUC
Hyaena hyaena (striped hyena) is the source of this 645-nucleotide long non-coding RNA. RefSeq lists it as uncharacterized. The record is from RefSeq and is a predicted model, not a curated record. The transcript has 2 exons. Lineage: Eukaryota; Metazoa; Chordata; Mammalia; Carnivora; Hyaenidae.